UCUCCGUUGGUGAACCAGCGGAGGGAUCAUUACCGAGUUUACAACUCCCAAACCCCUAUGUGAACGUUACCAAACUGUUGCCUCGGCGGGAAAUUCAUGCCCCGGGCGCGUCGCAGCCCCGGACCAAGGCGCUCGCCGGAGGACCAACCAAAACUCUUUUGUAUGUCCCUCGCGGACUUUUAUAAUUCUGAACCAUCUCGGCGCCCCUAGCGGGCGUUUCGAAAAUGAAUCAAAACUUUCAACAACGGAUCUCUUGGUUCUGGCAUCGAUGAGAACGCAGC
This 281-nucleotide unclassified non-coding RNA is filed under the name plant metagenome. RNAcentral's name for it is "partial contains small subunit ribosomal RNA, internal transcribed spacer 1, and 5.8S ribosomal RNA". The stretch from base 234 to 281 matches the Rfam family "5.8S ribosomal RNA", at positions 1 to 49 of the family's 154-position model. The record is from RNAcentral.